UGGGGAAUCUUGCGCAAUGGGCGAAAGCCUGACGCAGCAACGCCGCGUGAGCGAAGAAGGCCUUCGGGUUGUAAAGCUCUGUCAGGGGGAAAGAAGGCACCUGGGUUAAUAGCCCAAGGGCUGACGGUACCCCCAGAGGAAGCCACGGCUAACUACGUGCCAGCAGCCGCGGUAAUACGUAGGUGGCGAGCGUUGUCCGGAAUCAUUGGGCGUAAAGAGCGCGUAGGUGGCUUGUCAGGUCCGAUGUGGAAACCUGGGGCUCAACCCCAGGCCUGGAUCGGAAACCGGCUUGCUAGAGUCUGGGAGAGGAGAGUGGAAUUCCUGGUGUAGCGGUGAAAUGCGUAGAUAUCAGGAGGAACACCGGUAGCGAAGGCGGCUCUCUGGAACAGUACUGACGCUGAGGCGCGAAAGCUAGGGGAGCGAACAG
This 427-nucleotide ribosomal RNA is filed under the name uncultured bacterium. RNAcentral describes it as "bacterial SSU rRNA". It matches the Rfam family "Bacterial small subunit ribosomal RNA", at positions 355 to 775 of the family's 1533-position model. The record is from RNAcentral.